This 253-nucleotide ribosomal RNA is filed under the name uncultured bacterium. Its description in RNAcentral is "partial 16S ribosomal RNA". It matches the Rfam family "Bacterial small subunit ribosomal RNA", at positions 524 to 776 of the family's 1533-position model. The record is from RNAcentral.
GACGUAGGGCGCGAGCGUUGUCCGGAUUUAUUGGGCGUAAAGAGCUCGUAGGCGGCUUGUUGCGUCAGCUGUGAAAACCCGCAGCUCAACUGUGGGCUUGCAGCUGAUACGGGCAGGCUUGAGUUCGGUAGGGGAGACUGGAAUUCCUGGUGUAGCGGUGAAAUGCGCAGAUAUCUGGAGGAACACCGGUGGCGAAGGCGGCAUCCUGGACCAACACUGACACUGAUGAGCGAAAGCCAGGGGAGCAAACGGG